This 571-nucleotide ribosomal RNA is filed under the name uncultured organism. Its description in RNAcentral is "eukaryotic LSU rRNA". The stretch from base 96 to 247 matches the Rfam family "5.8S ribosomal RNA". The record is from RNAcentral.
CAGCAUGGUUCAAGCUAGCGAAAGCAGGCAUGUCCAUUGCAGCAUCUAAUAAAACUAAUCUAAAGGAGCUUAACUAAGCUUUAUACCAAAAACCAAAUUCACAACGAUGGAUAUCUUGGUUCCCAUAACGAUGAAGAACGCAGCGAAGUGCGAUAAGCAGUGCGAAUUGCAGAACCGUGAGUCAUCAGAUUUUUGAACGCAAAUGGCGCCAGUUGGCAAUCCAGCUGGCAUGCUUGUUUCAGUGUCUUGUUUUCUCCUAACCCAAAUCUUAAUGUGAGAGAUACCCUUCUCUUACUAAGUAUGAAAGCACUCUGUACUCUGCAGGCAUCCUUGAUUCGUCGAGGGUUGCACUCAAUGCAGCAGUCACAUUUUAUAUGUGAACUCAUUGAGAGUUGAGACAGUGCAGUUAAUCUGCUAGUGCUUAGAUCUCUAAACUUUACUUGCAUCUGAAAUCAAGCAGGACCACCCGCUGAACUUAAGCAUAUCAAUAAGCGGAGGACACGUCUAAACUUUCGACCUGAGCUCAGGCAAGGCUACCCGCUGAACUUAAGCAUAUCAAUAAGCGGAGGAA